RNAcentral lists this ribosomal RNA (280 nucleotides) under uncultured bacterium. Its description in RNAcentral is "partial 16S ribosomal RNA". It matches the Rfam family "Bacterial small subunit ribosomal RNA", at positions 506 to 785 of the family's 1533-position model. The record is from RNAcentral.
UGCCAGCAGCCGCGGUAACACGGGGGGCGCAAGCGUUAUUCGGAAUUACUGGGCAUAAAGGGCGUGUAGGCGGCGUGAUAAGUGAGAGGUGAAAGCCCUCGGCUCAACCGGGGAAUUGCCUUUCAAACUGUCAUGCUCGAGGCCGUGAGGGGAGUGUGGAACUCUUGGUGGAGCGGUGAAAUGCGUAGAUAUCAAGAGGAACGCCGGUGGCGAAAGCGACACUCUGGCACGGUUCUGACGCUGAGGCGCGAAAGCUAGGGUAGCGAACGGGAUUAGAUAC